This 490-nucleotide ribosomal RNA is filed under the name uncultured bacterium. RNAcentral describes it as "partial 16S ribosomal RNA". It matches the Rfam family "Bacterial small subunit ribosomal RNA", at positions 30 to 507 of the family's 1533-position model. The record is from RNAcentral.
AUUGAACGCUGGCGGCAGGCCUAACACAUGCAAGUCGAAUGGUAACAGGAAACAGCUUGCUGUUUCUCUGACGAGUGGCGGACGGGUGAGUAAUGUCUGGGAAACUGCCUGAUGGAGGGGGAUAACUACUGGAAACGGUAGCUAAUACCGCAUAACGUCGCAAGACCAAAGAGGGGGACCUUCGGGCCUCUUGCCAUCAGAUGUGCCCAGAUGGGAUUAGCUAGUAGGUGGGGUAACGGCUCACCUAGGCGACGAUCCCUAGCUGGUCUGAGAGGAUGACCAGCCACCCUGGAACUGAGACACGGUCCAGACUCCUACGGGAGGCAGCAGUGGGGAAUAUUGCACAAUGGGCGCAAGCCUGAUGCAGCCAUGCCGCGUGUAUGAAGAAGGCCUUCGGGUUGUAAAGUACUUUCAGCGGGGAGGAAGGGAGUAAAGUUAAUACCUUUGCUCAUUGACGUUACCCGCAGAAGAAGCACCGGCUAACUCCGUG